This 651-nucleotide ribosomal RNA is filed under the name uncultured bacterium. RNAcentral's name for it is "bacterial SSU rRNA". It matches the Rfam family "Bacterial small subunit ribosomal RNA", at positions 139 to 808 of the family's 1533-position model. The record is from RNAcentral.
GGGGAUAACACCUGGAAACAGGUGCUAAGACCGCAUAAGCGCACAGACCCGCAUGGGACAGUGUGAAAAACUCCGGUGGUACAAGAUGGAUCCGCGUCUGAUUAGCCAGUUGGCGGGGUAACGGCCCACCAAAGCGACGAUCAGUAGCCGGCCUGAGAGGGUGAACGGCCACAUUGGGACUGAGACACGGCCCAAACUCCUACGGGAGGCAGCAGUGGGGAAUAUUGCACAAUGGGGGAAACCCUGAUGCAGCAACGCCGCGUGAGUGAAGAAGUAAUUCGUUAUGUAAAGCUCUAUCAGCAGGGAAGAAAAUGACGGUACCUGAGUAAGCAGCCCCGGCUAACUACGUGCCAGCAGCCGCGGUAAUACGUAGGGGGCAAGCGUUAUCCGGAUUUACUGGGUGUAAAGGGAGCGUAGACGGUAAAGCAAGUCUGAAGUGAAAUGCCAGUGCUCAACACUGGAACUGCUUUGGAAACUGUUUGGCUGGAGUGCAGGAGAGGUAAGUGGAAUUCCUAGUGUAGCGGUGAAAUGCGUAGAUAUUAGGAGGAACACCAGUGGCGAAGGCGGCUUACUGGACUGUAACUGACGUUGAGGCUCGAAAGCGUGGGGAGCAAACAGGAUUAGAUACCCUGGUAGUCCACGCGGUAAACG